RNAcentral lists this ribosomal RNA (317 nucleotides) under uncultured bacterium. Its description in RNAcentral is "bacterial SSU rRNA". It matches the Rfam family "Bacterial small subunit ribosomal RNA", at positions 28 to 334 of the family's 1533-position model. The record is from RNAcentral.
GAUGAACGCUAGCGACAGGCCUAACACAUGCAAGUCGAGGGGCAGCGGGGAGGUAGCAAUACCUUUGCCGGCGACCGGCGCACGGGUGAGUAACACGUAUGCAAUCCACCUGUAACAGGGGGAUAACCCGGAGAAAUCCGGACUAAUACCCCAUAAUAUGGGCGCUCCGCAUGGAGAGUUCAUUAAAGAGAGCAAUUUUGGUUACAGACGAGCAUGCGCUCCAUUAGCCAGUUGGCGGGGUAACGGCCCACCAAGGCGACGAUGCGUAGGGGUUCUGAGAGGAAGGUCCCCCACACUGGUACUGAGACACGGACCAG